This 450-nucleotide ribosomal RNA is filed under the name uncultured bacterium. Its description in RNAcentral is "partial 16S ribosomal RNA". It matches the Rfam family "Bacterial small subunit ribosomal RNA", at positions 354 to 796 of the family's 1533-position model. The record is from RNAcentral.
GUGGGGAAUCUUCCGCAAUGGACGAAAGUCUGACGGAGCGACGCCGCGUGAGUGAAGAAGGCCUUCGGGUCGUAAAGCUCUGUCAUCAGGGACGAACGGCCGGUGGAGUGGAAAGCCACCGGAUUGACGGUACCUGAGAAGGAAGCCACGGCUAACUACGUGCCAGCAGCCGCGGUAAUACGUAGGUGGCAAGCGUUGUCCGGAAUUAUUGGGCGUAAAGCGCGCGCAGGUGGGAUCUUAAGUCCAUUUUUAAAGUUCGGAGCUCAACUCCGUGAUGGGAUGGAAACUGGGAGUCUGGAGUACCGGAGAGGAAAGCGGAAUUCCUAGUGUAGCGGUGAAAUGCGUAGAUAUUAGGAGGAACACCAGUGGCGAAGGCGGCUUGCUGGACGACAACUGACGCUGAGGCGCGAAAGCGUGGGGAGCAAACAGGAUUAGAAACCCGGGUAGUCC